GAUGAAGAACGCAGCGAAAUGCGAUAAGUAGUGUGAAUUGCAGAAUUCAGUGAAUCAUCGAAUCUUUGAACGCACAUUGCGCCCGCCAGUAUUCUGGCGGGCAUGCCUGUUCGAGCGUCAUUUCAACCAUCAAGCCCCCGGCUUGUGUUGGGGACCUGCGGCUGCCGCAGGCCCUGAAAACCAGUGGCGGGCUCGCUGUCACACCGAGCGUAGUAGAUUUUCAUCUCGCUCAGGGCGUGCUGCGGGUUCCGGCCGUAAAAAGCCUUAUUUACCCAAGGUUGACCUCGGAUCAGGUAGGAAGACCCGCUGAACUUAAGCAUAUCAAUAAGCGGAGGA
Molecule: unclassified non-coding RNA, 336 nt
Filed under: soil metagenome
Description: partial contains 5.8S ribosomal RNA, internal transcribed spacer 2, and large subunit ribosomal RNA
Rfam family: 5.8S ribosomal RNA (bases 1-120)
Source: RNAcentral